GGCGGACGGGUGAGUAACGCGUAGGCAACCUGCCCCAUACAGAGGGAUAGCCUCGGGAAACCGGGAUUAAAACCUCAUAACGCGAGGAGUUCACAUGGGCUUCUCGCCAAAGAUUUAUCGGUAUGGGAUGGGCCUGCGUCUGAUUAGCUAGUUGGUGAGGUAACGGCUCACCAAGGCGACGAUCAGUAGCCGACCUGGGAGGGUAAUCGGCCACAUUGGAACUGAGGCACGGUCCAAACUCCUACGGGAGGCAGCAGUGGGGAAUAUUGCACAAUGGGCGAAAGCCUGAUGCAGCAACGCCGCGUGAGCGAUGAAGGCCUUUGGGUCGUAAAGCUCUGUCCUUGGGGAAGAAACAAAUGACGGUACCCUUGGAGGAAGCCCCGGCUAACUACGUGCCAGCAGCCGCGGUAAUACGUAGGGGGCGAGCGUUAUCCGGAAUUAUUGGGCGUAAAGAGUGCGUAGGUGGCCAUAUAAGCGCGGGGUGAAAGGCAAUAGCUUAACUAUUGUAAGCCUUGCGAACUGUGUGGCUUGAGUGCAGGAGAGGAAAGUGGAAUUCCUAGUGUAGCGGUGAAAUGCGUAGAUAUUAGGAGGAACACCAGUGGCGAAGGCGACUUUCUGGACUGUAACUGACACUGAGGCACGAAAGCGUGGGGAGCAAACAGGAUUAGAUACCCUGGUAGUCCACGCCGUAAACGAUGAGCACUAGGUGUCGGGGUCGCAAGACUUCGGUGCCGCAGUUAACGCAUUAAGUGCUCCGCCUGGGGAGUACGCACGCAAGUGUGAAACUCAAAGGAAUUGA
RNAcentral lists this ribosomal RNA (799 nucleotides) under uncultured bacterium. RNAcentral describes it as "bacterial SSU rRNA". It matches the Rfam family "Bacterial small subunit ribosomal RNA", at positions 97 to 913 of the family's 1533-position model. The record is from RNAcentral.